Mya arenaria is the source of this 355-nucleotide long non-coding RNA. RefSeq lists it as uncharacterized. The transcript has 3 exons. The record is from RefSeq and is a predicted model, not a curated record. Lineage: Eukaryota; Metazoa; Mollusca; Bivalvia; Myida; Myidae.
GGACAUUGGUGGUGGAAAGUCAAACGCAAUCGUUCUCAUUUUACGGUCAAGGCGUACAUAAACACACGAGCAGAUAUUUCUUUGUGAUUCAGUGAAGGAUUAUCAUGUUCAUACUUUUUAAAGAGUGAAUAAACAGCAAUUGUGAUAUUCCCGACUUACCAUGUCGGUGGAGGCGUACCUUCCGUCCUCCCCCAUUAUGACGGGCCUGGUUGCCCUGGUAGCUGGCCUCCUCUCCUUCUGGCUGCUUAGGGGCAUGCACUAUAACUACCCGCCCCGCCCAGGCAUCGCGCUCCCCUUGCUGGGACAUGCUUAUAAAAUAACUUUAAAUGACUUUUACUUGCAAACGUUUGAAUGG